This 414-nucleotide ribosomal RNA is filed under the name uncultured microorganism. Its description in RNAcentral is "bacterial SSU rRNA". It matches the Rfam family "Bacterial small subunit ribosomal RNA", at positions 9 to 416 of the family's 1533-position model. The record is from RNAcentral.
GAGUUUGAUCUUGGCUCAGAGUGAACGCUGGCGGUAGGCCUAACACAUGCAAGUCGAACGGCAGCACAGUAAGAGCUUGCUCUUAUGGGUGGCGAGUGGCGGACGGGUGAGGAAUACAUCGGAAUCUACUUUUUCGUGGGGGAUAACGUAGGGAAACUUACGCUAAUACCGCAUACGACCUACGGGUGAAAGCAGGGGAUCUUCGGACCUUGCGCGAUUGAAUGAGCCGAUGUCGGAUUAGCUAGUUGGGCGGGGUAAAGGCCCACCAAGGCGACGAUCCGUAGCUGGUCUGAGAGGAUGAUCAGCCACACUGGAACUGAGACACGGUCCAGACUCCUACGGGAGGCAGCAGGUGGGAAUAUUGGACAAUGGGCGCAAGCCUGAUCCAGCCAUACCGCGUGGGUGAAGAAGGCC